This 214-nucleotide ribosomal RNA is filed under the name uncultured bacterium. Its description in RNAcentral is "partial 16S ribosomal RNA". It matches the Rfam family "Bacterial small subunit ribosomal RNA", at positions 524 to 733 of the family's 1533-position model. The record is from RNAcentral.
UACAGAGGCCUCGAGCGUUAGGCGGAAUCACUGGGCUUAAAGCGUGUGUAGGCGGACUUCUAAGUACCUUGUGAAAUCCCACGGCUCACCCGUGGAACUGCUCGGUAUACUGGUCGUCUUGAGCCUUCUAGGGGGCGAGUGGAACAAAUGGUGGAGCGGUGAAAAUGCGUAGAUAUCAUUUUGGAACGCCAAUGGUGAAAAACAACUCGCUGGG